UAUUUCAAUAUACUAUUCUAUUACAAAUUCAUCCACUCGUUCUUCAAUCAGUCAACCUCAACCUCAACAUUUUCCAUUCCAUUCACACCAAUAAUAUUAAAAAUUGAAUUAUGUAUAGGCGAUAUACUGGACAAAAAUCUUAUACACCAGCAGUAGCACUAACACUGACCUACCCACUUCAUAAUUACACCCAUAAUUAUUUCAAUAUACUUUUCUAUUACAAAUUCAUCCGCUAGUUCUUCAAUCAGUCUUAACCUCAACCUCAACAGUAACGAAGUGUAUGCCUCGUACUUUGGAGGAUAUUAGUCUUGCACGAAGUUGAAGGAAACUGGUAAAACGAGGCUUCGAAAAAGUUGAAAAAAAAAAAAAAAGAAA
RNAcentral lists this unclassified non-coding RNA (375 nucleotides) under Bombus terrestris (buff-tailed bumblebee). RNAcentral describes it as "misc RNA ENSBTSG00005035505.1". The record is from RNAcentral. Lineage: Eukaryota; Metazoa; Arthropoda; Insecta; Hymenoptera; Apidae.